The sequence is a small RNA, 68 nucleotides long. It matches the Rfam family "Bacillaceae-1 RNA". The record is from Rfam.
CAUUAAUGACCUUCUGUUAAGAUCGCGCACAUCCUGUGCGCAACACAGAAGUCAGCACAACCUGUGCA